This 468-nucleotide ribosomal RNA is filed under the name uncultured bacterium. Its description in RNAcentral is "partial 16S ribosomal RNA". It matches the Rfam family "Bacterial small subunit ribosomal RNA", at positions 28 to 507 of the family's 1533-position model. The record is from RNAcentral.
GACGAACGCUGGCGGCGUGCUUAACACAUGCAAGUCGAACGGAAAGGCCCUGCUUUUGUGGGGUGCUCGAGUGGCGAACGGGUGAGUAACACGUGAGUAACCUGCCCUUGACUUUGGGAUAACUUCAGGAAACUGGGGCUAAUACCGGAUAGGAGCUCCUGCUGCAUGGUGGGGGUUGGAAAGUUUCGGCGGUUGGGGAUGGACUCGCGGCUUAUCAGCUUGUUGGUGGGGUAGUGGCUUACCAAGGCUUUGACGGGUAGCCGGCCUGAGAGGGUGACCGGCCACAUUGGGACUGAGAUACGGACCAGACUCCUACGGGAGGCAGCAGUGGGGAAUAUUGCACAAUGGGCGGAAGCCUGAUGCAGCAACGCCGCGUGCGGGAUGACGGCCUUCGAGUUGUAAACCGCUUUCGCAUGUGACGAAGCGUGAGUGACGGUAAUGGGUAAGGAAGCACCGGCUAACUACGUG